Molecule: ribosomal RNA, 253 nt
Filed under: uncultured bacterium
Lineage: Bacteria
Description: partial 16S ribosomal RNA
Rfam family: Bacterial small subunit ribosomal RNA
Source: RNAcentral
AACGUAGGGGACAAGCGUUAUCCGGAUUUACUGGGCGUAAAGCGCCCGUAGGCGGCUUGAUAAGUCGGAUGUGAAAGCCCUCGGCUCAACCAAGGAAGUGCAUCCGAAACUGCUGAGCUUGAGUACUUAAGAGGAUCGCGGAAUUCCCGGUGUAGAGGUGAAAUUCGUAGAUAUCGGGAGGAACACCAGUGGCGAAGGCGGCGAUCUGGGAAGAUACUGACGCUGAGGUGCGAAAGCGUGGGGAGCAAACAGG